This 69-nucleotide transfer RNA is filed under the name Camelus bactrianus (Bactrian camel). It matches the Rfam family "tRNA". From Rfam's summary of the family: Transfer RNA (tRNA) molecules are approximately 80 nucleotides in length. Their secondary structure includes four short double-helical elements and three loops (D, anti-codon, and T loops). Lineage: Eukaryota; Metazoa; Chordata; Mammalia; Artiodactyla; Camelidae. RNAcentral also lists the same sequence under 2 other names. The record is from Rfam by way of RNAcentral.
GGUAUACAGCUCAAGCGGUAGAGCACAUGCUUAACAUUCAUGAGGUCCUGGGUUCAAUCCCAGGUACCU